Molecule: transfer RNA, 67 nt
Filed under: Coatitermes kartaboensis
Lineage: Eukaryota; Metazoa; Arthropoda; Insecta; Blattodea; Termitidae
Also listed under: 1 other name
Description: tRNA-Arg
Source: RNAcentral
AAGAGAGAAGCAAAAAUUGCAAUCAGUUUCGACCUGAUCUUAGAUAACCAGUAAUUAUCCUCGCUUU